This 658-nucleotide ribosomal RNA is filed under the name Escherichia coli. RNAcentral's name for it is "partial 23S ribosomal RNA". It matches the Rfam family "Bacterial large subunit ribosomal RNA", at positions 1273 to 1916 of the family's 2925-position model. The record is from RNAcentral. Lineage: Bacteria; Pseudomonadati; Pseudomonadota; Gammaproteobacteria; Enterobacterales; Enterobacteriaceae.
CUGGAGGUAUCAGAAGUGCGAAUGCUGACAUAAGUAACGAUAAAGCGGGUGAAAAGCCCGCUCGCCGGAAGACCAAGGGUUCCUGUCCAACGUUAAUCGGGGCAGGGUGAGUCGACCCCUAAGGCGAGGCCGAAAGGCGUAGUCGAUGGGAAACAGGUUAAUAUUCCUGUACUUGGUGUUACUGCGAAGGGGGGACGGAGAAGGCUAUGUUGGCCGGGCGACGGUUGUCCCGGUUUAAGCGUGUAGGCUGGUUUUCCAGGCAAAUCCGGAAAAUCAAGGCUGAGGCGUGAUGACGAGGCACUACGGUGCUGAAGCAACAAAUGCCCUGCUUCCAGGAAAAGCCUCUAAGCAUCAGGUAACAUCAAAUCGUACCCCAAACCGACACAGGUGGUCAGGUAGAGAAUACCAAGGCGCUUGAGAGAACUCGGGUGAAGGAACUAGGCAAAAUGGUGCCGUAACUUCGGGAGAAGGCACGCUGAUAUGUAGGUGAAGUCCCUUGCGGAUGGAGCUGAAAUCAGUCGAAGAUACCAGCUGGCUGCAACUGUUUAUUAAAAACACAGCACUGUGCAAACACGAAAGUGGACGUAUACGGUGUGACGCCUGCCCGGUGCCGGAAGGUUAAUUGAUGGGGUCAGCGCAAGCGAAGCUCUUGAUCGAA